AACGGAAACAGGACGCUGUGAUCUCUUCGGAGUGAACUUGUCGCUGUCGAGUGGCGGACGGGUGAGUAAUGCUUGGGAAUCUACCCAGUAGUGGGGGACAACAGUCGGAAACGACUGCUAAUACCGCAUACGUCCUACGGGAGAAAGCGGGGGAUCUUCGGACCUCGCGCUAUUGGAUGAGCCCAAGUUGGAUUAGCUUGUUGGUGGGGUAACGGCCUACCAAGGCGACGAUCCAUAGCUGGUCUGAGAGGACGAUCAGCCACACUGGGACUGAGACACGGCCCAGACUCCUACGGGAGGCAGCAGUGGGGAAUAUUGGACAAUGGGGGCAACCCUGAUCCAGCAAUGCCGCGUGUGUGAAGAAGGCCUGCGGGUUGUAAAGCACUUUCAGUAGAGAAGAAAAGCCUGAGGUUAAUAGCCUCGAGUCUUGACGUUACCUACAGAAGAAGGACCGGCUAACUCCGUGCCAGCAGCCGCGGUAAUACGGAGGGUCCAAGCGUUAAUCGGAAUUACUGGGCGUAAAGCGCGCGUAGGCGGCUUAGUCAGUCGGAUGUGAAAGCCCCGGGCUUAACCUGGGNAAUUGCAUUCGAUACUGUUGAGCUAGAGUAUGGGAGAGGGAAGUGGAAUUUCCGGUGUAGCGGUGAAAUGCGUAGAUAUCGGAAGGAACACCAGUGGCGAAGGCGACU
This 686-nucleotide ribosomal RNA is filed under the name uncultured Gammaproteobacteria bacterium. Its description in RNAcentral is "bacterial SSU rRNA". It matches the Rfam family "Bacterial small subunit ribosomal RNA", at positions 50 to 726 of the family's 1533-position model. Lineage: Bacteria; Pseudomonadati; Pseudomonadota; Gammaproteobacteria. The record is from RNAcentral.